CCUACGGGAGGCAGCAGUGAGGAAUAUUGGUCAAUGGCCGGAAGGCUGAACCAGCCAUGCCGCGUGAAGGUCAGUGCCCUAUGGGCGUUAAACCUCUUUUGUGCGGGAGCAAUAAUGGUCACGUGUGGCCAGACGAGAGUACCGUACGAAUAAGCAUUGGCUAACUCCGUGCCAGCGGCCGCGGUAAUACGGGGGAUGCAAGCGUUAUCCGGAUUUAUUGGGGUUAAAGGGUGCGUAGGGUGGGAGGUAAGUCAGCGUGGAAAUGCCCCCGCUCAACGGGGUGAAGUGCCAUUGAUACUGCCUUGCUGGAAUGCGGAUGCCGUGGGAGGAAUGUGUGGUGUAGCGGUGAAAUGCAUAGAUAUCACACAGAACACCGAUUGCGAAGGCAGCUCACGAGUCCGCGAUUGACGCUGAUGCACGAAAGCGUGGGUAUCAAACAGGAUUAGAUACCCGAGUAGUC
This 460-nucleotide ribosomal RNA is filed under the name uncultured bacterium. RNAcentral's name for it is "partial 16S ribosomal RNA". It matches the Rfam family "Bacterial small subunit ribosomal RNA", at positions 338 to 795 of the family's 1533-position model. The record is from RNAcentral.